Long non-coding RNA from Saccostrea cuccullata (small rock oyster), 665 nucleotides. RefSeq lists it as uncharacterized. The transcript is spliced from 4 exons. NCBI's taxonomy places the organism in Eukaryota, Metazoa, Mollusca, Bivalvia, Ostreida, Ostreidae. The record is from RefSeq and is a predicted model, not a curated record.
AUCUUGUGAUGUAUGUUCAAGAUCUUGUGAUGUAUAUUCAAUAUCUUGUGAUGUAUAUUCGAAAUCUUGUGAUGUAUAUUCUAUAUCUUGUGAUGUAUGUUCGAAAUCUUGUGAUGUACAUUCGAAAUCUUGUGAUGUAUGUUCGAUAAUCUUGUGAUGUAUAUUCGAAAUCUUGUGAUGUGUGUUCUACAAUUCAGUGAUGCGUGCAAUAAAAUUGCAUGACGCAACAGAAAAGUAAGGACAAUUUUCAUUGGUUAGAAAUAACGAAAGUAGCCGGAGCGGUCGUAAUGCACACAUUGAGUCAAUGACACAACUUCGCAAGCAUGAAAUUGGCGAAUUCAACCUAAAGUCAAAAUUAUAGGAACUUUACGUAGGUCUACAGUUUUAAUUUUGGACUCAUGCACUAGGAAUAUCAUAUCAGCAGAAUUGUGCCACUGAAUCAAAGGGAACUCUUUUUUUUUUAGGUACGCAUGAUCGAUGUAACUUCCUCGAUGGUGUGUUGGUUGUUUGCCCAUGUGUAUUUCGGGGUAUAGGAGUAGCCUCCCCUUUUAAAGAUCCAAAAUGGUGAUUUUACAGUGCGGCAUGCAGUCUGGUCAUCAACGAAGAGUUUUGACACCUUCCAAGACAGGAAGUUGAGGAAUAAAGUUGACAGGACAUCCUGAACU